RNAcentral lists this ribosomal RNA (484 nucleotides) under uncultured bacterium. RNAcentral describes it as "partial 16S ribosomal RNA". It matches the Rfam family "Bacterial small subunit ribosomal RNA", at positions 30 to 507 of the family's 1533-position model. The record is from RNAcentral.
AUUGAACGCUGGCGGCAUGCUUUACACAUGCAAGUCGAACGGCAGCGCGGGCUUCGGCCUGGCGGCGGGUGGCGAACGGGUGAGUAAUACAUCUGAACGUGCCCAGUAGUGGGGGAUAGCUCGGCGAAAGCCGGAUUAAUACCGCAUACGACCUGAGGGUGAAAGCGGGGGAUCUUCGGACCUCGCGCUAUUGGAGCGUCCGAUGGCAGAUUAGCUAGUUGGUGGGGUAAAGGCCUACCAAGGCGACGAUCUGUAGCUGGUCUGAGAGGACGACCAGCCACACUGGGACUGAGACACGGCCCAGACUCCUACGGGAGGCAGCAGUGGGGAAUUUUGGACAAUGGGCGAAAGCCUGAUCCAGCAAUGCCGCGUGUGUGAUGAAGGCCUUCGGGUUGUAAAGCACUUUUGGCGGGAACGAAAAGGACUGUGCCAAUACCACGGUUCGAUGACGGUACCCGCAGAAUAAGCACCGGCUAACUACGUG